RNAcentral lists this ribosomal RNA (492 nucleotides) under uncultured bacterium. RNAcentral describes it as "partial 16S ribosomal RNA". It matches the Rfam family "Bacterial small subunit ribosomal RNA", at positions 29 to 507 of the family's 1533-position model. The record is from RNAcentral.
AGUGAACGCUGGCGGUAGGCCUAACACAUGCAAGUCGAACGGCAGCACAGCAAGAGCUUGCUCUUACGGGUGGCGAGUGGCGGACGGGUGAGGAAUACAUCGGAAUCUACUUUUUCGUGGGGGAUAACGUAGGGAAACUUACGCUAAUACCGCAUACGACCUACGGGUGAAAGCAGGGGAUCUUCUGACCUUGCGCGAUUGAAUGAGCCGAUGUCGGAUUAGCUAGUUGGCGGGUUAAAGGCCCACCAAGGCGACGAUCCGUAGCUGGUCUGAGAGGAUGAUCAGCCACACUGGAACUGAGACACGGUCCAGACUCCUACGGGAGGCAGCAGAGGGGAAUAUUGGACAAAGGGCGCAAGCCUGAUCCAGCCAUACCGCGUGGGUGAAGAAGGCCUUCGGGUUGUAAAGCCCUUUUGUUGGGAAAGAAAAGCAGCAGGUUAAUACCCCGCUGUUCUGACGGUACCCAAAGAAUAAGCACCGGCUAACUUCGUG